Molecule: ribosomal RNA, 492 nt
Filed under: uncultured bacterium
Lineage: Bacteria
Description: partial 16S ribosomal RNA
Rfam family: Bacterial small subunit ribosomal RNA
Source: RNAcentral
AGUGAACGCUGGCGGUAGGCCUAACACAUGCAAGUCGAACGGCAGCACAGUAAGAGCUUGCUCUUACGGGUGGCGAGUGGCGGACGGGUGAGGAAUACAUCGGAAUCUACUUUUUCGUGGGGGAUAACGUAGGGAAACUUACGCUAAUACCGCAUACGACCUACGGGUGAAAGCAGGGGAUCUUCGGACCUUGCGCGAUUGAAUGAGCCGAUGUCGGAUUAGCUAGUUGGCGGGGUAAAGGCCCACCAAGGCGACGAUCCGUAGCUGGUCUGGGAGGAUGAUCAGCCACACUGGAACUGGGACAAGGUCCAGACUCCUACGGGAGGGAGCAGUGGGGAAUAUUGGACAAUGGGCGCAAGCCUGAUCCAGCCAUACCGCGUGGGUGAAGAAGGCCUUCGGGUUGUAAAGCCCUUUUGUUGGGAAAGAAAAGCAGCAGGUUAAUACCCCGCUGUUCUGACGGUACCCAAAGAAUAAGCACCGGCUAACUUCGUG